RNAcentral lists this ribosomal RNA (469 nucleotides) under Ceriodaphnia sp. 3 MV-2021a. RNAcentral's name for it is "partial 16S ribosomal RNA". It matches the Rfam family "Bacterial large subunit ribosomal RNA", at positions 1914 to 2601 of the family's 2925-position model. The record is from RNAcentral. Lineage: Eukaryota; Metazoa; Arthropoda; Branchiopoda; Diplostraca; Daphniidae.
UGCUUUAGAGUAAAUAGCCGCAGUAUUUUGACUGUGCUAAGGUAGCAUAAUCAUUAGUCUUUUAAUUGAAGGCUGGUAUGAAUGGCGAGACGAGAAAGUAACUGUCUCUAAUAAAAUAAUUGAAUUUCAUUUCUAAGUGAAAAAGCUUAGAUGAAUUUGGAGGACGAUCAGACCCUUUGGAGCUUUAUUUAAUAAAUCCCUUAAGUUAAUUUAAAAUAAGAAAGGGGUUUCUUAAAUUUUGUUGGGGCGACAAAGAGUUAAAAAUAACACUCUUUUUAUUAAACAUAAAUAGAUGAAAAAUUGAUCCUUAAAGAAAGAUUAAAAGACUAAGUUACCCUAGGGAUAACAGCGUAAUCUUUUUAGAGAGUUCAUAUCGAUAAAAAGGUUUGCGACCUCGAUGUUGGAUUAAGAAAUUAACAAGGUGCAGAAGCUUUGUUGGAAAGUCUGUUCGACUUUUAAACUCUUACAU